CACGCCGUAAACGGUGGGUACUAGGUGUGGGUUCCAUUUCACGGAAUCCGUGCCGUAGCUAACGCAUUAAGUACCCCGCCUGGGGAGUACGGCCGCAAGGCUAAAACUCAAAGGAAUUGACGGGGGCCCGCACAAGCGGCGGAGCAUGUGGAUUAAUUCGAUGCAACGCGAAGAACCUUACCUGGGUUUGACAUACACCAGACGUAUGUAGAGAUACAUAUUCCCUUGUGGUUGGUGUACAGGUGG
This 246-nucleotide ribosomal RNA is filed under the name uncultured Gordonia sp. Its description in RNAcentral is "partial 16S ribosomal RNA". It matches the Rfam family "Bacterial small subunit ribosomal RNA", at positions 796 to 1041 of the family's 1533-position model. Lineage: Bacteria; Bacillati; Actinomycetota; Actinomycetes; Mycobacteriales; Gordoniaceae. The record is from RNAcentral.